UGAAUGAUGACAUUAAAGAACAUCUAAUAUAGAGAUAUCUAUGAUUCAUCGGUGAAACUAAUCUUCCACGAUGUCCUUGCUUUUACGUGUAUUAAUUUCUAACACGCUUUAUAUAUAUAUUAUGUGUAUAUAUUUAAAAUUCAUAUAUAUACGUAAGUACAUAUAUGACGAAUGUGAGGCAAACGUGAAACAGUGUUAGUGUGAUCUCAAUCAUAAUACUUUUCGUACUAACGUGACAAUUUGACGAACGCGAGUGCAUAUUUAAUCAUAAUGUGUCAAAGGAUUUGUUAUAACAAAGAAAGGAUUUAAUGGAGUGUGCAGCGUCCAGUGAAUGAGUAAUUCUAUGCAAUAAAAAGGAUAUAUGCGAUGGUGACAGGACACGUUCUCUACUUUUAGUGUGAUUUUAUGGAAGUUCUUCGAAAUCAACGCAUCAGAAGGAAAAACUUGAAGUGUAAUGGAGAAUUAAUAGGAGAAAUCUUUUAUAAAUAAUUGAUCUCUUAUUAAUUACUUUCGAAGAAACGACAUAUAAUAUUGAUUUUAUAUUUUUAUUUGGCACGGAAAACAUUUAUCGGUACAUAAAAGCUUCUCUCAUUAUCAAGACUUACUAUUACUAUGCAAAAAAUACGAUGGACGCAGAAACAACGUUGCAACAUGGUCACGAGAAAAUCGUUUAACGUUUCUAAAAGCAGUGAAACACGGAUGUUCAUGGAUAUGUAUGUAAAUCUGGAAGAGUCAACGUCCGUAUUCCGUUAACUCUAAGCAAACUCUUCAGACUCGUACAGAAAUCUUCGCUAUCUCUAUCCGCCGUACGACUUUCGUUAUUUAAUCGUGAAAUCCUUUCUCUAAUAUUACUGCAUUCAUUAAAUUGUAAAUUAAGUUUCAUGAGGAAUACAAAAUUCGUUAAGAAAAUCUUUCAUGACUAGGUAUUGCGAACAUACAUUUUAUUAUCCUACUUAUAUCUCGACUGUAAGAUAAAAAUUAUGGUUUAAAAAUUCUUAUCUAUUUUAUUUAACUAUUGCAAAUUAUGUUAUUUAAAUAGAUCCGCAAUUUAUACUUCUUUAUGAUUUAAUAGUGAAUUAAUAUAUAAAACUUCUUAGUGAAUUAAUCUACAAAAUUUUUUAUUCCAUACUACUAUCAUUAUCCUGAUCAGCCAAGUGUCUCUUCUUUGCCGGAAAUUCAAACUUCGAAGAAAUACCAUUUUAUGAGUUAGAAAAGGUAUCACAAAGAACAAUAAAAAAACUCGAAGAAAUAAUUAAU
Vespa velutina is the source of this 1257-nucleotide long non-coding RNA. RefSeq lists it as uncharacterized. The record is from RefSeq and is a predicted model, not a curated record. The transcript is spliced from 3 exons. Lineage: Eukaryota; Metazoa; Arthropoda; Insecta; Hymenoptera; Vespidae.